GGCUUUAUAGUCAAUAUUAAUGAUAUUAGACUGCAAUUCUAAAGUAGGGGUAACCUAAAGCUU
RNAcentral lists this transfer RNA (63 nucleotides) under Urochela quadrinotata (four-spotted shield-bug). Its description in RNAcentral is "tRNA-Cys". Lineage: Eukaryota; Metazoa; Arthropoda; Insecta; Hemiptera; Urostylididae. The record is from RNAcentral.